Molecule: ribosomal RNA, 253 nt
Filed under: uncultured bacterium
Lineage: Bacteria
Description: partial 16S ribosomal RNA
Rfam family: Bacterial small subunit ribosomal RNA
Source: RNAcentral
UACAUAGGUCUCAAGCGUUGUUCGGAUUCAUUGGGCGUACAGGGUGCGUAGGUGGCGCGGUAAGUCUGGUGUGAAAUCUCGGAGCUCAACUCCGAAAUUGCACUGGAUACUGCUCUGCUAGAGGGCUGGAGAGGAGAUCGGAAUUCACGGUGUAGCAGUGAAAUGCGUAGAUAUCGUGAGGAAGACCAGUGGCGAAGGCGGAUCUCUGGACAGCUCCUGACGCUGAGGCGCGAAGGCUAGGGGAGCAAACGGG